GCCAGGUGUGGUGGCUCAUGCCUGUAAUCCCAGCACUUAGGAGGCCGAGGUAGGUGGAUCACUUGGGGUCAGGAGUUUGAGACCAGCCUGGCCAACAUGGCGAAACCCUGUCUCCACUAAAAAUACAAAAAUUUUCCAGGUGUGGUGGUGGGUGCCCAUAAUCCCAGCUACUGAGGCAAGAGAAUAGUUUGAAGCCAGGAGGUGGAGGUUGUAGUGAGAUAGCACCAUUGCACUCCACCCUGGGCAACAGAGUGAGACUCUGUCUCA
This 267-nucleotide small RNA is filed under the name Nomascus leucogenys (northern white-cheeked gibbon). RNAcentral describes it as "Metazoan signal recognition particle RNA (ENSNLEG00000028479.1)". Lineage: Eukaryota; Metazoa; Chordata; Mammalia; Primates; Hylobatidae. The record is from RNAcentral.